UACGGAGGGUGCGAGCGUUGUUCGGAAUUACUGGGCGUAAGCGCGCGCAGGCGGUUCAUUAAGUCUUCUGUUUAAUGCAUGGGCUCAACCCGUGUUCGCAGGGGAAACUGGUGGACUGGAGUGCAGGAGAGGAAAGUGGAAUUCCACGUGUAGCGGUGAAAUGCGUAGAGAUGUGGAGGAACACCAGUGGCGAAGGCGACUUUCUGGCCUGUAACUGACGCUGAGGCGCGAAAGCGUGGGGAGCAAACAGG
RNAcentral lists this ribosomal RNA (251 nucleotides) under uncultured bacterium. RNAcentral's name for it is "partial 16S ribosomal RNA". It matches the Rfam family "Bacterial small subunit ribosomal RNA", at positions 524 to 776 of the family's 1533-position model. The record is from RNAcentral.